RNAcentral lists this ribosomal RNA (507 nucleotides) under uncultured bacterium. RNAcentral describes it as "partial 16S ribosomal RNA". The stretch from base 20 to 324 matches the Rfam family "Bacterial small subunit ribosomal RNA", at positions 47 to 358 of the family's 1533-position model. The record is from RNAcentral.
GACGAACGCUGGCGGCGUGCUUAACACAUGCCAGUCGAACGGAAAGGCCCUGCUUUUGUGGGGUGCUCGAGUGGCGAACGGGUGAGUAACACGUGAGUAACCUGCCCUUGACUUUGGGAUAACUUCAGGAAACUGGGGCUAAUACCGGAUAGGAGCUCCUGCUGCAUGGUGGGGGUUGGAAAGUUUCGGCGGUUGGGGAUGGACUCGCGGCUUAUCAGCUUGUUGGUGGGGUAGUGGCUUACCAAGGCUUUGACGGGUAGCCGGCCUGAGAGGGUGACCGGCCCGGUAGGGAGGGGGAGCGGGACCGGAGGGGGCGGGGGGGGGGGAGGGGAGAAUGGCGGAGAGGGGGAGGACGGGGGAGGAAGCAGGGGGGGGUGGGGGGUGGGGGCCUGUGGGUUGUCAGCCGCUUGGGCCUGGGGGGAGGCGGGGUGGAGGGUAAGGGAGGGAGAAGCACCGGAUGAAGAGGUGGGAGCAGCCGCUGAAUAGUCGAAGCACCCACGUCUGAAC